RNAcentral lists this transfer RNA (75 nucleotides) under Mycoplasma parvum str. Indiana. RNAcentral's name for it is "tRNA-Thr (TGT) (tRNA-Thr-TGT-1-1)". It matches the Rfam family "tRNA". Rfam says of the family: Transfer RNA (tRNA) molecules are approximately 80 nucleotides in length. Their secondary structure includes four short double-helical elements and three loops (D, anti-codon, and T loops). The record is from RNAcentral. Lineage: Bacteria; Bacillati; Mycoplasmatota; Mollicutes; Mycoplasmatales; Mycoplasmataceae.
GCCGGAUUAGCUUAGUAGUAAAAGCGUUCGACUUGUAAUCGAAUGAGACGGGUUAGAAUCCUGUAUUCGGCACCA